This 498-nucleotide ribosomal RNA is filed under the name uncultured bacterium. RNAcentral's name for it is "partial 16S ribosomal RNA". It matches the Rfam family "Bacterial small subunit ribosomal RNA", at positions 30 to 523 of the family's 1533-position model. The record is from RNAcentral.
AUUGAACGCUGGCGGCAUGCCUUACACAUGCAAGUCGAACGGUAACAGGUCUUCGGAUGCUGACGAGUGGCGAACGGGUGAGUAAUACAUCGGAACGUGCCUAGUAGUGGGGGAUAACUACUCGAAAGAGUGGCUAAUACCGCAUGAGAUCUACGGAUGCAAGCAGGGGAUCGCAAGACCUUGUGCUUAUACAGCGGCCGAUGGCAGAUUAGGUAGUUGGUGGGAUAAAAGCUUACCAAGCCGACGAUCUGUAGCUGGUCUGAGAGGACGAUCAGCAACACUGGGACUGAGACACGGCCCAGACUCCUACGGGAGGCAUCAGUGGGGAAUUCUGGACAAUGGGCGCAAGCCUGAUCCAGCAAUGCCGCGUGCAGGAUGAAGGCCUUCGGGUUGUAAACUGCUUUUGUACGGAACGAAAAGCCCCGGGUUAAUACCCUGGGGUCAUGACGGUACCGUAAGAAUAAGCACCGGCUAACUACGUGCCAGCAGCCGCCGUAA